UAUAACGUGAAAAAGAAACCUCUUUCUCCAACCCCGUCCUGGGGGCCACCAUUACCACCAGACUCUUGUCUUUUCUGUCAGAUCUCUUCUAUGGAUAUAAUGGAAGUUAUUUAUCACAUGGGACCUUAGAGUUGGAGAUCAUUAACUUGCCUGCUUUUCUAAGCUGGUCUUUCCCACUUUGCCCCUUCAACCCCCCUUCUUGUGGCAGCACACAAACCGUGGGCCUCCCUUAUUUGUCCAGCUCCCCCUUCCCAAGCCCCCUCCACCUGGUAAUGAUUUCCUAGAGCGUCUCCCAGGGGUCUCCAUGGGGACGUUUCCUGCUCCAAUCUCCAUGGCAACUCUUCAGGUUGCCAUGGUGACACUUAAGCGAUUAUUUGGAGACCCUUAAAUAAAUCACCCGUGGUGGUAUAUGCUAGACGUGUUUGGCUCUGGCUCUUGUGUUUGGGGCCAGGGUUGGGGCCCAGGCCCGAAGGCAGAAAAUGUGGGGAGGUGGGAGAUGGUGGUCAGAGCCCGAUGCCCUUGGUCUGGCCCUGUGAGGGGCCCUCUUUGGGCAAAAUUGGAAUUGAGCCUUUUGUGAAGUGGUGGGAGGACAACAGGCAGUUAUGCUUGUGCAGUCCUUAAAUAGGGAGACCCUGCAGCCAGCAGGACAUCUUAACUCUGAUCAGGAUGGGGGCAACUUGGAGCUAUGCAGUAACCAAGCAGGGAUUCCACUCCAGGCCUGCUGGGCUCCAAGGCCCUCACUCCUCCUUGACGUCAAAUUCUAAAAGGGAAUUUAAGAUGGAAUCCACUCCUUCAUAUAUUCAUUUAUUUGACCGAUGUGUUUAAAGUGGCUACUAUGUGCCAGGCACUGUGUGCUAAGCAUUGGGAAUACAGCAGUGAAUUAAAAAACAAAACCCCUGUCCUCAUGGAGCUUAUAUUCGACCAGCGAGAGGCAGACAAUUAGCAAAACAAAACAUCCAUGGCCGGGCGCAGUGCUUCAUGCCUGUAAUUCCAGCAUUUUGGGAUGCCAAGGUGGGUGGAUCACCUGAGGUCAGGAGUUCGAGACCAGCCUGGCCAACAUGGUGAAACCCCAUUUCUACUAAAAAUACCAAAAUUAGCCGGGCAUGGUGGUGUGUGCCUGUAAUCUCAGCUACUUAGGAGGCUGAGGCAGGAGAAUCAUUUGAACCCAGGAGGCA
RNAcentral lists this long non-coding RNA (1175 nucleotides) under Homo sapiens (human). Its description in RNAcentral is "non-protein coding lnc-RPS24-10:1". Lineage: Eukaryota; Metazoa; Chordata; Mammalia; Primates; Hominidae. The record is from RNAcentral.